GACGAACGCUGGCGGCGUGCUUAACACAUGCAAGUCGAACGGAAAGGCCCUGCUUUUGUGGGGUGCUCGAGUGGCGAACGGGUGAGUAACACGUGAGUAACCUGCCCUUGACUUUGGGAUAACUUCAGGAAACUGGGGCUAAUACCGGAUAGGAGCUCCUGCUGCAUGGUGGGGGUUGGAAAGUUUCGGCGGUUGGGGAUGGACUCGCGGCUUAUCAGCUUGUUGGUGGGGUAGUGGCUUACCAAGGCUUUGACGGGUAGCCGGCCUGAGAGGGUGACCGGGCACCAUGGGACUGAGAUACGGCCCAGACUCCUACGGGAGGCAGCAGUGGGGAGUAUUGCACAAUGGGCGGAAGCCUGAUGCAGCAACGCCGGGUGCGGGAUGACGGCCUUCGGGUUGUAAACCGCUUUCGCCUGUGACGAAGCGUGAGUGACGGUAAUGGGUAAAGAAGCACCGGCUAACUACGUG
RNAcentral lists this ribosomal RNA (468 nucleotides) under uncultured bacterium. RNAcentral's name for it is "partial 16S ribosomal RNA". It matches the Rfam family "Bacterial small subunit ribosomal RNA", at positions 28 to 507 of the family's 1533-position model. The record is from RNAcentral.